GUUCAGUGCUGAGCCAGGGAAAACCUCGCCCAGCUGAGCAGGGCUCGUCACACUACAUGGGCGCUUGUGGAAGAUCGGGGUUGGCACAUCUCCAAACCGCACAAACAGCAAACUUCGAGCCCUUGGCACUCACAUGGAAAAAGCAAUGGCCUAAGAGUGUCAGAGGUGACCAGGUGAGAGAAGGGUCCAUUGAAAUUCCUUGUCAGCAAACAUCUCCCUCCAAUACCUUUUUGGGACCCGAACAGCAGGUGGGGCAGGGUCUGGCUGGGGUUUCCUCACUCACUCCCACCCCCUGGGUAAAACUCCCUCAGAAACCUUUGCUGGGGCUCCUUCCUCGAGGCAGCUCAGUGGGUGCAACACCGACGAUCCACGCCGCGCAGAGCCAGUGCAGACUUUGAUUCAGGUUCCCAAGAAGCUGGUGCCAGCCAGCAGCAGCCCAGGACGCACACUUUCAGCAAGGCCCACGUUCUCCUAUCAGCCCUGAAAACACAGAUGGCAUCGUCUAUGCCAGGAUGUGCCGGGCCCCAAACACUGCAGAUGUUCGGCACAGCACAUCCCGGUACCGAGCCCUGCCGACACCACAGGCAGCCUCUGGCAGCACUUGCAGGGCUGCUGCUGAUGUUGCUGGUGGACUGGGUCCUGCUAUUCUGCCAUGGAUGUGAUGUCAAGGACGUCAAGGAUGUGAUGCCAAUAAGCACACCGCCUAGCACCAGUGUCGCCAUCCUCUUACGGACGACACGCCUUUAUGAGAGAUGGUCUAUCAAGGAAAAGUCACUGUGGGAGCGAGGACGCUGGGAGGGCUGGAAGUGGUCUCAAAUACACGUGGUCUCAGGCUCUGGUGACAGCCGUGCACAACGUUGCAACAGGGCUUGCCUUCGACUUGGCAGCUGUUCUGUUUUGCCUCUAGGUGCCCUGCCGUAA
RNAcentral lists this long non-coding RNA (921 nucleotides) under Anser brachyrhynchus (Pink-footed goose). RNAcentral describes it as "lncRNA (ENSABRG00000013160.1)". The record is from RNAcentral. Lineage: Eukaryota; Metazoa; Chordata; Aves; Anseriformes; Anatidae.